UACGAAGGGGGCUAGCGUUGCUCGGAAUCACUGGGCGUAAAGCGCACGUAGGCGGAUUGUUAAGUCAGGGGUGAAAUCCUGGAGCUCAACUCCAGAACUGCCUUUGAUACUGGCGAGCUUCGAGUCCGGGAGAGGUGAGUGGAACUGCGAGUGUAGAGGUGAAAUUCGUAGAUAUUCGCAAGAACACCAGUGGCGAAGGCGGCUCACUGGCCCGGUACUGACGCUGAGGCACGAAAGCGUGGGGAGCAAACAGG
Molecule: ribosomal RNA, 254 nt
Filed under: uncultured bacterium
Lineage: Bacteria
Description: partial 16S ribosomal RNA
Rfam family: Bacterial small subunit ribosomal RNA
Source: RNAcentral